GUCUACGGCCAUACCACCCUGAUCACACUUGAUCUCUGAUCUCAGAAGCUAAGCAGGGUCUGGCCUGGUUAGUGCCUGGAUA
RNAcentral lists this ribosomal RNA (82 nucleotides) under Jaculus jaculus (lesser Egyptian jerboa). Lineage: Eukaryota; Metazoa; Chordata; Mammalia; Rodentia; Dipodidae. The record is from RNAcentral.